Apodemus sylvaticus (European woodmouse) is the source of this 130-nucleotide small nucleolar RNA. RefSeq annotates it as small nucleolar RNA SNORA17. The record is from RefSeq and is a predicted model, not a curated record. The transcript has a single exon. Lineage: Eukaryota; Metazoa; Chordata; Mammalia; Rodentia; Muridae.
GCUGCCCUUAGAUGUGUUGCAGGUGUGCCUGCUGUGUCACCUGUAUGUCCACAGGUGGCAGAGAGGAAAGAAUCUGUCUACAGUCAGUGUUCUGAACUAUGAACAUCUGAAUCAUUAAAAACCUAACACU